RNAcentral lists this ribosomal RNA (3326 nucleotides) under Mesorhabditis anisomorpha. RNAcentral describes it as "eukaryotic LSU rRNA". It matches the Rfam family "Eukaryotic large subunit ribosomal RNA". Lineage: Eukaryota; Metazoa; Nematoda; Chromadorea; Rhabditida; Rhabditidae. The record is from RNAcentral.
AGUGAACGGGAAAAGCCCAGCGCCGAAUCCCUCGGUUUGUAGCCGUAGGGAAAUGUGGCGUAUAGGUGCGGUUAUCCGGCACGGUCGCAUACUCAAAGUCCCUUUGACUGGGGCCAUGGAUCAAAGAAGGUGCAARUCCUGUACGAGUGGUGACUCGAGUCGGUCGAUCGUUCCUUGGAGUCGGGUUGCCUGAGAACGCAGCCUUAAGCGGGUGGUAAACYUCAUCUAAGGCUAAAUACGGCCACGAGACCGAUAGCCAACAAGUACCGUGAGGGAAAGUUGCAAAGAACUUUGAAGAGAGAGUUCAAGAGUGCGUGAAACCACUGGAGUGGAAACGAAUAGAGUUGACGUAACUGGGUCACAUUCAACCGAACCCUUGUGGCGCGGUGCACUUGUGAUCCGUAUGCGUUGAGCGCGUUGGCAGCCUGUAUCRAGCGUGAGCGCGUUGCCCACAUCUGUGGUGUCUUGUGCUCGCGGAAGAUAUGUGGUGGCUAAGUAGCGGCUCGACGUGCAAGUCAAUCACCUAUUCGACCCGUCUUGAAACACGGACCAAGGAGUCUAACGUAUACGCGAGUCAUUGGGUGGAAAACCUAAAGGCGCAAUGAAAGUAARGACCGGCUUUCGAUCGGUUGAUAUGGGAUGCGUUCGGCUAACGUUCGCCGCACCAUAGCCCCGUCUUGAUGGCUUGCCAUAGGGCGGAGGUAGAGCGUAUGCGUUAGGACCCGAAAGAUGGUGAACUAUACGUGAGCAGGGCGAAGCCGGUGGAAACACCGGUGGAGGUCCGUAACGAUUCUGACGUGCAAAUCGAUCGUCUGACUGGCGUAUAGGGGCGAAAGACUAAUCGAACCAUCUAGUAGCUGGUUCCCUCUGAAGUUUCCCUCAGGAUAGCAGGAACUCGUAACAGUUAUAUUCGGUAAAGCGAAUGAUUAGAGGAAUUGGGGGCGAAAUGCUCUCAACCUAUUCUCAAACUUUCAAUGGGUAUGAAGUCUCGGUUUYUUCGGUGAACCGAGACGCUGAAUGAGAGCUCCUAGUGGGCCAUUUUUGGUAAGCAGAACUGGCGCUGUGGGAUGAACCAAACGUCGGGUUAAAGUGCCUAAGUAUCCACUCAUGAGACCCCAUGAAAGGCGUUAGUUGAUAUAGACAGCAGGACGGUGGCCAUGGAAGUCGGUACCCGCUAAGGAGUGUGUAACAACUCACCUGCCGAAUCAACUAGCCCUGAAAAUGGAUGGCGCUUGAGCGGAUCACUUAUACCCGACCGUUGCUGACUUGUGCGCAUGCCCGCCUGGUCGCAACGAGUAAGAGGGUCGCGGCGGUUAGCGUUGAAGGCUUUGGACGUGGGUCCAGCUGGAGCUUCCGUCGGUGCANAUCUUGGKGGKRGUAGCAAAUAUUCAAGCGAGAACCUUGAAGACUGARGUGGGGAAGGGUUCCMCGUGAACAGCAGUUGAAUGUGGGUCAGUCGAUCCUAAGGUACUGACGAAAGUCUUGUAUCACUGAGAGUGAGAAGUCCGCUUCUCUCUCGGCAAUCGAAAGGGAAACGGGUUAAUAUUCCCGUACCCGGAUGCGGAGAUUUGCAGUCUUUACGAUUGCAUCGGGCGGUAACGCAAACGAACCCGGUGACGCCUAACUAGGCCCGAGCCAGAGUUCUCUUCUCUGGUUAAGGAACGGACUCGCUGGAAACGGUUCAGCCGAAGAUAGCGACGUUGUUUCCGUAAAGCGCCACGGUUUCUGUGGCGUCUCGUGCGCCUGGUUGGGUCCUUGAAAARCCGGGGGAACCAAUUUGAAUCUCGCACCGGAUCGUACCCAUAUCCGCAGCAGGUYUCCAAGGUGAACAGCCUCUAGUCGAUAGAAUAAUGUAGGUAAGGGAAGUCGGCAAAUUAGAUCCGUAACUUCGGGAAAAGGAUUGGCUCUAAGGACUGGCCUGGUCGGGCCCUGGCAUGAAGUGGGUACGGCUUGAUCUUGGCUGGGUGACGCUUCGGUGGAACUUGGCCUUGUGUCGAGACUGUCCUAUGGACUGCCGCGGCUGCGCGUACGGCUCUCGGGUCGUGCGCUUCGGUCGGCGUGAAACAGUUGACUUAGAACUGGUACGGACUCGGGGAAUCCGACUGUCUAAUUAAAACAGAGGAGACAGAUGGUCUUUGCGGACGUUAACUGUCUCUGAUUUCUGCCCAGUGCUCUGAAUGUUAACGUGAAGAAAUUCACGUAAGCGCGGGUAAACGGCGGGAGUAACUAUGACUCUCUUAAGGUAGCCAAAUGCCUCGUCGGCUAACUACCGACGCGCAUGAAUGGAUUAACGAGAUUCCCACUGUCCCUAUCUACUAUCUAGCGAAACCACAGUCAAGGGAACGGGCUUGACAAAAACAGCGGGGAAAGAAGACCCUGUUGAGCUUGACUCUAGUCUGACUCUGUGAAGAGUCUUGAGAGGUGUAGUAUAAGUGGGAGCUUCGGCAACGGUGAAAUACCACUACUUUCACUGAUUCCUUACUUACUCGGUGAAACGGGAGCUUGAGUUUACUCUUCCUUCUAGUAUUAAACGUGGUCACUUGGUGGCUGCGCGACUCGCGCCGAAGACAGCUUCAGGCGGGGAGUUUGGCUGGGGCGGUACAUCUGUCAAAUCGUAACGCAGGUGUCCUAAGGCUGGCUCAGAGAGGACAGAAACCUCUCGUAGAGUAAAAGGGCAAAAGCCAACUUGAUCUUGAUUUUCAGUACGAAUACAGACCGCGAAAGCGUGGCCUAUCGAUCCUUUUGAAUAAGAAAGUUUCUUGCAAGAGGUGUCAGAAAAGUUACCACAGGGAUAACUGGCUUGUGGCAGCCAAGCGUCCAUAGCGACGUUGCUUUUUGAUCCUUCGAUGUCGGCUCUUCCUAUCAUUGCGAAGCAGAAUUCGCCAAGCGUUGGAUUGUUCACCCACCAAUAGGGAACGUGAGCUGGGUUUAGACCGUCGUGAGACAGGUUAGUUUUACCCUACUGUUAACUAGUUGUUGCGAUAGUAAUCCUGCUUAGUACGAGAGGAACCGCAGGUUCAGACAUUUGGUUCAUGCACUUGACCGAUCGGUCAAUGGUGCGAAGCUACCAUCUGCGGGAUUAUAACUGAACGCCUCUAAGUUAGAAUCCCACCUAGUCAAGGCAAUGAUAACUUUGCUCUCUCGGUGUCGGGAGGCACUUUUAUGUAGUGGUAACGCUACAGCUUAUGCCCUAUCAGAUGGCCUCGCUGCUCAGGUGAAUCCUGAGUAGUUGCCAAAGCCGGAUCACUUCGGUUUCUCGAGGGCGCAAAAUCACUUGCAUACGACUUGAUCGCUGGUCAAGGUGUUGUACUCGGUUGAGCAGUAUA